UGGAUCAAUGAUGACCACUAGUGGCGGAUGAGGCCCGCGUGAUGACCACAGCUCUAAGGUCUGAGUUCCGG
Fukomys damarensis (Damara mole-rat) is the source of this 71-nucleotide small nucleolar RNA. NCBI's taxonomy places the organism in Eukaryota, Metazoa, Chordata, Mammalia, Rodentia, Bathyergidae. The record is from Ensembl.